AGUGAACGCUGGCGGUAGGCCUAACACAUGCAAGUCGAACGGCAGCACAGUAGAAGCUUCCUUUUACGGGUGGCGAUUGCCGGACGGUUGGGGAUUCAUUCGGAAUCUAUUUUUUCGUGGGGGUUAACGUAGGGAAAUUACGCCUAUUACCGCAUCCGCCUUCCGGUUGAAAGCAGGGGAUUUUCGACCCUUCCGCGAUUGAUUAACCCGAUGUCGGUUUAGCUAGUUGGCGGGGUAAAGGCCCACCAAGGCGACGAUCCGUAGCUGGUCUGAGAGGAUGAUCAGCCACACUGGAACUGAGACACGGUCCAGACUCCUACGGGAGGCAGCAGUGGGGAAUAUUGGACAAUGGGCGCAAGCCUGAUCCAGCCAUACCGCGUGGGUGAAGAAGGCCUUCGGGUUGUAAAGCCCUUUUGUUGGGAAAGAAAAGCAGCAGGUUAAUACCCCGCUGUUCUGACGGUACCCAAAGAAUAAGCACCGGCUAACUUCGUG
This 492-nucleotide ribosomal RNA is filed under the name uncultured bacterium. RNAcentral describes it as "partial 16S ribosomal RNA". It matches the Rfam family "Bacterial small subunit ribosomal RNA", at positions 29 to 507 of the family's 1533-position model. The record is from RNAcentral.